This 222-nucleotide ribosomal RNA is filed under the name uncultured bacterium. RNAcentral describes it as "partial 16S ribosomal RNA". It matches the Rfam family "Bacterial small subunit ribosomal RNA", at positions 116 to 334 of the family's 1533-position model. The record is from RNAcentral.
CGUAGGUAACCUGCCUGGUAGCGGGGAUAACUAUUGGAAACGAUAGCUAAUACCGCAUAAUAGUAGUUGUUGCAUGACAACUGUUUGAAAGGUGCAAUUGCAUCACUACCAGAUGGACCUGCGUUGUAUUAGCUAGUUGGUGGGGUAACGGCUCACCAAGGCGACGAUACAUAGCCGACCUGAGAGGGUGAUCGGCCACACUGGGACUGAGACACGGCCCAG